Molecule: long non-coding RNA, 4996 nt
Organism: Cygnus atratus (black swan)
Lineage: Eukaryota; Metazoa; Chordata; Aves; Anseriformes; Anatidae
Exons: 5
Source: RefSeq, a predicted model, not a curated record
AUCAGAGAAGGGAAGAAACACACAUCUUGAGAAUAUUUCCUCUCAUGACAAAGAUGUGACCAUAUAAGCACAUGGUUUGAAACAGGAACAGCACAUCUGAACAAGCAGUGAACACCCUGCACCUUCACCCACGAUUAGAGUUCAGGAGCGGCUGUUCUUUCGAGUCUGUGAAGCAAGGUUGCAAGAACCUUUACCUGGACAUACCUAAAUGUGGAAAAUGAAGAUUCAAGCUCCUGAUCCGUUAAAAUUGCUGUUGUGGAACGACGAAGUGCAGGUGACCUACACGGAGCAGAACAGAGGAGACAAGGGGAGAGAUGAGUGAUGCAAAUGUGAAGAGUUUAGAAGAACAGAGACCUGUGGACAGGACUGAAAAUGACUGGGGAGGAGUAGGGAGCUGAAGAAGAGAGCAAGGAGAAUUAGAAAAUAAAGAUCUUUCAGGCAAGGAUUGUCCCUCAGUUUUACUUGUUCAAUGUCCAGCUUCACGAGGGAGGUGUGAAUGUGCAUCCACUGAGACACAGCUGUGCAGCUAAUGAUUGGUGUUGGGCUAGUAGCUGAAACUAUAAAGCUGAGCACCCCGCACAGCCCCCGGCUUGCUGUUGACGUCACCUGUGCUCAGAUCACACCUGGGACGCUCUUACCGACCCCUUUCAAGAUUUCUGGGGAGAGAUGAAAACACAUUUGUCCCUUGAGUGAAACAGGAAGUUCAGCAAGUCAAAACAUUGCCUCUACGGAUCUGGUUGGGGUUAUCCAUUUGACAGAAGUGCAUGUUUUUACCUGUAUCAACGUUAAGGCAGGCAGGAGGUCUGAUGCAUCCAACCACAGUGUUGUGAUAAAGGAAGGAAAGCGGAACUUGCCAGCAGCAUACCUCAGCCAGGAGAUGAAACAGUGAACUCCCGCCGCAUACAGGAGCAGGUAUGCUAGCUAGGGCUGUGCAACAUUUAACGCUUUCAGGGUAGAAGCAGGAAGAUAUGUUUUCAAUGGCAAGGAAAUAAUGGCAGGACUAAAGAACAAAAUGGCUGACCAUGUUGGGAGCUGUCUACAAGUUUGCUGAAGGUAAUUUUGCCUAUCAAAACUCUCACGGCUGGUUUUCAUUUCUUUCCCCUACCUAUUCUGCUGUUGACGCUUACUGACAGACUGGAGCAAAGUAUGGUACUAUGAAAUGUAAUUUAUUUUAAAACAGAAUAUUUAUCCAUGUAUGCAUAAAAAUGAACAAAGAAACCAAAUAUAAGCCUUGCAGUCCAUAGGGAUGUAACUUUGGGCUAGGACUGAGUAUUUUGGCAUAAACACUAAAAAUCUUUAAAAAAGUAAUAUCCUGUGGCUUUUGCACUUCCAUUAUAUUAAACUGAUUUUCUUUACUCACAGUGGGAUUUCAAAUUAAUUUGUAAUUAUACACACCGUGAGGGGAUGAGAAAGAAAUGACCUAAUUAUAGACCAAAAGGAUGCCCUACAGCUAUCAUCCAAUUACUCCAGCCAUCUGAGCUCUUAAGCAAAAUGAUGGGCUUAAUCCUCUCUUGGUCAUAUCUAGUUGUAAUUUGCCAUUGAAUACCAUAAUUUCACUUUAAAUAUUCAUUCACAUAAUAUAAAAAUCUUUGAAUGGAAACAUAUAAUGAGAAUGGGUCAUAAUCACAGUCCUUCUAGACUUUGGUCUCCCAUAUGCACUCUGUGACCAUGUGGUGAGGAAGGAAAUCAUUGCUUCUCUCCUAUGUCCCCUAAAUGGUACUAAUUAGCUAUAAUUAGGCAGAUAUAAAGCCUUAGAAAUAAUGGAAAACUCUAAAAUGCCCACUAACUCUUGGGCAUGUCAACUUUACCUUUCAGCAAGAGAUGAAGAGUUCAUAAAGAGGCACUUGGUAACCUCAGUUAACAUGUGAGUUAAGAAGCAGCUUUCUAAUGGAACAAAUCUUCACCUCUGCUCUUUGUGCAAUAUUCUGGAAUAAAAUUUUAGAAUAGAAUAGAAAAAAUAAUUAUAAUAAAGAAAGGAGCAUGAUACACAAGACGUCAGAUCUCUAUAAAUAUCUGUUGUUUUUUUUUCAGUUCAUUGACAAUUGUAUAAAAUAUUUACACACUAACCCAAAAUAUCUUUUAUUCUCAGGUUUCUUUCAAUAUCUGUGUAAGUUGUAACACUCUAGACAUGAAAAUAUCAUAGAAUAAAACCAAGUAACCUCUUGGACAGUUGAUUUUUUGAGCUAUUGUACAUACACUAUCCUUUUUCUUCAUUAUUUGUAUGAGAAGGAUCAGCUUCAGUUGGUGAGAUACAGAGAAAUUUACUCUUGAAAACAGCAUAGUAUGAGGAUGAAAGAAGUGGGGGUAGCUUCAAGGUUCAUCUUAGUGAAAUACAUUGGGAUUUGGACUGUUGAGUGUGUGACUCUGGAGAUAUACCAAAUGAAAAGAGGCAACCACCUUUUCUGUCCUGAAAAAGUAUGUUAAAGUUAAAAGUAUGUUAAAAACACCAAAAUGUGUCACUUGAUAGCUUCAGUUUUUAAAUUUUGUUUUACUUCAGGCACUUCUUAGUGAGAAAUGCUUUACAUGAUUUUUUUGACCAGCUUUAUAUGUGCACAAGCUGUUUCUGUAGGUUUUGAACAUGCAGUCACCCUUUACAGAUAACUGACUUGCUAACCAGUUGAAAAGCGGAAUGCCAAUUUUGUUUGCCCUUUUAAUAUUUUGUUUCCUUCUCUUCAGAUGACUCUGUAGGUAGAGUUUUUUUUUUUUUUUUUUUUUUUUUAAAUUGGGAAAUGCUUUUAAUAAUCAUAAAAGCUGCUUAAUAAUUCUUCCUCUGAAUAUUGCUUGUUUGUUUGUAGAUACACAUUGUUUGUAGGUAGAUGUACAUUGUACUUAUCACUGUUGUAUUUCAUAGACUAGAAACACAUAUUUUUGGUAUCUCAGUAGACAGAGGACACAGAGUAAUGUUAAGGGAUUUAUUUGCUUUGCAUGUAUUGUGUUGGUAAUUUAUUUUGCUCAGCACCAAGGAUUUAAUAACUGUCAGGUUAAAACUGAUCCAUAGGCUAGUAGACCCUAUGUAUACUUAAUGUGUUAGUGGUUGUUUUUAGUCACUGCUUUAUCCUUUGUUUUCUGACUGCUCUUGAUGCAAUUGUCUGGUUAAAGGUUUGGAAGUUUGGGUUAUUUCUCUGGUGGAAAGAUUAAUGGUGGAGUCAAUCUGCUUCAUUGAAGCAAAAGUAUUUAUAAGAAAGUUCAAAGAUCUGUUUCUCUGAACAGAGGUGAAAUCAAGCAGCCCGAGCCAGUUUCUCACCUCCUAGAACACAGGUACUUUCCAGACGGCACCUUUACUGUCUCUCCAUAGAUGCAGAGAGAAGCAUCCAGCCAACAUGACUGUCCUCUCCCCAGAGAAGACAAGGAUAUUCAGGCAACAAGCGAAAAGCAAACAUGACUCUCCUGGAAUGUCUUCAGCCAGAGGGCAAAGCUUUUUAGGGAAUAUAUGGAGAGAGAGAGAAAUAGCUUUGCCACAGGAAGGUCUACAGCUAGGAAAAAAAAAAAAAAAGGUUUAGCCAUGCAAAUUCUUCUUCAGCAACAUAUUCAUCCUAUAAACCCUAUAGGCCAUUGUGGCUUCAGCCACAUCCAUUUUACACAUACUCUCAUGGCCAAAACAAUACUUAGUGAAAAGAAUUAAAAUUGAUGCUGGCUCUGGCUUUGUUUUGGCUGAAAAUACAUCUGUGUUUUGAAAUUUUUAGACUGAAGUUACUGAACUGUAUAUGUAGUUAAAAAUAUGACAGAGGGUUACCUUUAGCAUACAAUGGUGGUUACUUGUAAGAAUUUAAACUUGAACCCAAGCUACAAGAGUUCAUCACUUUUUGUUCAGAGCUGAAACUUCUGGUUUUCAUUAGAUGAAUUUCUCACUCUCACUGCAAUAGCUAUUGCACCAUAAUUUGCUGAAUUUAACUCCGCUCUUUUGUUUUAGUAAUAUAUCACUCUUAUGACUAUGAAUUUCUAUGUUUGGUCUUGAAUAAAAUUAUUUUCCUGAGUAGAAGGUUUCACUAAAGCAUGCCAGAAACACACGGUGUUUCUCUGAGUUGAACCCAGUCCUUCAUUCUUCAGAGGCACGCAUUCAGAGGCAUGGUUUCAUGGGGCCCUUCCUUACACAGCUCCCUCCUGCAAAUGUUCUAUUAGUUUUUCUUUAAAUUCACUAAAACUUCUUUUUCUCUGUAGUCCCAGUGUUGUCACUCAUGUGAGCAGCCCAGCUGACUUCAAAGCACAUUCUGCAAAAGUUAUUUGAAUGGUGAAGUGAUGUAACUUACUCUUGUGAAGAGUGAUGCUGUUUUUGUCCCUUUCUGUGAAUUCUGAAAUGUAUAUGCUUUAACACUGAGGAACUAUUUCAUCUGAUACAUGCUAAGAUUGUCAUCUGUAAUAUUUCAGAAACAGUAUCUGUUUACUUUGGUGUUUUUUCCUUCUACUGCCUCAGGAAAGGUAUGCAUAUAUGUGUACAGCUCUGCCAACAGACUAUAUUUUUUCUUUCUGAACAGCUAUGUGACGAAUUUGUUUAAAUUUUCCAGCAUUUUUACCUCAUACCUUAAAAACGAUUCUCUUUAGUCCUUAUUCUGUUCUUCAGUGACCUUUUGUUUUUAUGCCUGCUUGAAAGGUUUUGCUCUAAUUUCAUACUCUUUUGUAAAAUCUUUCUCUAUUUUGCUCUCCUUAUCUGUUUUUUAACUUUCUGUUUUAUUUGUUUUUUGUUUGCUUGAAUCCUCUAGGAUUCCUUUUUGAUUUUCUUGUAUUUCCUUUUGCAUCACUGUUAAUCAUUUACUAUUCUUGAACACUUAGAAUUAGGUGCGAUGAAGUCCUGAAUGUACUUGACGCAUGCUCAACAUGUAUUUUUACAUCACUUUAUUUUGUCUCUUUACUAUAGUACAUAUUGCUAUGCUACAGCUUAGCUCCAGUUGCAAACUCUUAGCUGUACCCAGAUCAAAACCAAACUCUGCUUUUAUUUUUGCUAUCUUUUCAAUCCUAAGUAUAGACUGUAUGAUGAUAAAUAAAAACUUGUUAAAUGCUU